CUGCACUUCAAAGGGAUUCUUUAUGUGAGAAGAGCUUUGGGACAUAUCUGAGCGAAUGUGAUAAAACUAUAUAAAUGCUCCAAGAAGAGAUCGGGAUUUGAACUCUGGUCCCUGCCUUCUGGGAUGACGCCUGAUGGAAUCAUGAUUGGUGCUCGCUGAAAGAGGUGGCACAGUUCCUUCACUCUCAGCAUAUUCUCCAUAAUUUGAUAACAGCUUCAACAAACAUUGCUGAGGCAGAUAAAAUGCUUGGAACAACGGUGUGACCAGGUAGAUCACCUUCCGGAGAGCAAUGCGAAUUGUACACCAGAAUAAUGGAACCUUUACAUCCCAUGAACAGUGACGCAUUGCAACUUCCAACCCAAUACUGAAAAAUGUCUUCAGCAGUUUGCUUACCUUG
This is a long non-coding RNA of Mobula hypostoma (lesser devil ray), 397 nucleotides long. RefSeq lists it as uncharacterized. NCBI's taxonomy places the organism in Eukaryota, Metazoa, Chordata, Chondrichthyes, Myliobatiformes, Myliobatidae. The record is from RefSeq and is a predicted model, not a curated record. The transcript is spliced from 4 exons.